GACGAACGCUGGCGGCGUGCCUAAUACAUGCAAGUAGAACGCUGAAGGAGGAGCUUGCUUCUCUGGAUGAGUUGCGAACGGGUGAGUAACGCGUAGGUAACCUGCCUGGUAGCGGGGGAUAACUAUUGGAAACGAUAGCUAAUACCGCAUAAUAGCAGUUGUUGCAUGACAACUGUUUGAAAGGUGCAAUUGCACCACUACCAGAUGGACCUGCGUUGUAUUAGCUAGUUGGUGGGGUAACGGCUCACCAAGGCGACGAUACAUAGCCGACCUGAGAGGGGGAUCGGCCACACUGGGAAUGAGACACGGCCCAGACUCCUACGGGAGGCAGCAGUAGGGAAUCUUCGGCAAUGGACGGAAGUCUGACCGAGCAACGCCGCGUGAGUGAAGAAGGUUUUCGGAUCGUAAAGCUCUGUUGUAAGAGAAGAACGAGUGUGAGAGUGGAAAGUUCACACUGUGACGGUAUCUUACCAGAAAGGGACGGCUAACUACGUG
This 495-nucleotide ribosomal RNA is filed under the name uncultured bacterium. Its description in RNAcentral is "partial 16S ribosomal RNA". It matches the Rfam family "Bacterial small subunit ribosomal RNA", at positions 28 to 507 of the family's 1533-position model. The record is from RNAcentral.